RNAcentral lists this ribosomal RNA (479 nucleotides) under uncultured bacterium. Its description in RNAcentral is "bacterial SSU rRNA". It matches the Rfam family "Bacterial small subunit ribosomal RNA", at positions 28 to 507 of the family's 1533-position model. The record is from RNAcentral.
GAUGAACGCUGGCGGCGUGCUUAACACAUGCAAGUCGAACGAAGCACUCUAUUUGAUUUCUUCGGAAUGAUAUUUGUGACUGAGUGGCGGACGGGUGAGUAACGCGUGGGUAACCUGCCUCAUACAGGGGGAUAACAGUUGGAAACGACUGCUAAUACCGCAUAAGCGCACAGGACCGCAUGGUCUGGUGUGAAAAACUCCGGUGGUAUGAGAUGGACCCGCGUCUGAUUAGCUAGUUGGUGGGGUAACGGCCUACCAAGGCGACGAUCAGUAGCCGACCUGAGAGGGUGACCGGCCACAUUGGGACUGAGAUACGGCCCAGACUCCUACGGGAGGCAGCAGUGGGGAAUAUUGCGCAAUGGGGGCAACCCUGACGCAGCAACGCCGCGUGAAGGAUGAAGGUCUUCGGAUUGUAAACUUCUUUUAUUAAGGACGAAGAAGUGACGGUACUUAAUGAAUAAGCCACGGCUAACUACGUG